This 2559-nucleotide long non-coding RNA is filed under the name Homo sapiens (human). RNAcentral's name for it is "HSALNT0091918". The record is from RNAcentral. Lineage: Eukaryota; Metazoa; Chordata; Mammalia; Primates; Hominidae.
GCGGCCCGGAUAUCUCUGCGCGGCAGCCCCCGCGGUCGAUCAAUCUCAGUCCCGCACUGCCGUCCCGCCCCGCCCUGUGCCCGCCAAUCCACGACGCCAUAAUCCCCCGCCGUGUCCCUCCCUUCCUCCCCAUUGGUUGUGACCGCACGUCAGCCCGACUCAGCCUGCCAAUCGCAGGACCCAGAGGGCCCUCUCCCCCGCCCGCUCAGUGUAAUUCGAGUUCCCUGUCCAUCGACUCCAAGUCCUCUCUCCUGCGCCGCAUGCUGCCUCGCGCUCCCUUUCCUUCCCCCUCUACCCCCUUCCGCGAUUUACUGUUUCCUCGCGCCCAACAGAAAUGGGCGACCGCAAGUCUUACUCUCGCCGGCGUUACAAAGGUACCGGCCUUUGACCUCUCCUUGAAUUAAUGUGAUCCGAUUCAUCUUCCCUCCAAGUUUUUUUUUUAAUUUAAUUACCCCUCCCUGCCCUGGCCCUGCCAGCUUCAGCUCCACCUCCUUGGAGGAAGCAGGCGCUUUUACAGAGCGCCGCGCGGCAGGUCCCCUUUCAGCCAAUCACAUCUGCGGAACCGCGUUCCGAGUCGUUUGAGGGUGUCUGGUAAAGCAAGCUCGGGGCGGUGUUGGAAAUCUGAAUGUCACCCGCGGUCCGGAGCAGAUAGGAUGGGCUGGGAAGGUACCCGCGAACUGCCGCCGGAAUUCGCUGGCAGCUGUGCGAGGCUCAGGUGUUCUAGUUUGACAUUUCCCUUCCUGAAAGCGGCAAGGAGAGGUCUAAGAGUGGGCAAACUUCAACGUUCGGUUACAGUGUAAUUAAUGAGAGUGGUGGGUUUUUAUGCAGUGUAAUUAUGCCACGAUUUGUUGUUGCUCAGUGGCUUUUUCACAAAUUUCUACAGAUUAUUUAAAUUUUCCACAAAUUUCUACGGAUUAAUUCAAUGGCAGCUCACUUUCUCCUUUUAUGAUCGGAUGGGUCCGAAAGUGAGGAAAAAGACAAUUGUCUACAAAGAAAGAGGCUGCCAAGUGGAGACAGAAAAGCAGUUAUGAGACUGAUGAUAGAUUCCAAUUUGUUAUCGUGCGGACUAAGUAUUAUUAGAGCAAAAAUUUACUAUCUUGCAAUUACUUCAUAUAAUUAGAUACAGUUCAUGACAUACUAAGAAGCAUCUUAAAAAAGUAAUCAAACAUAAUACUGAUUUUCAAAGUAUUUGGCUAACAAAGACUACAUUUUUUUCUCUUAACCCAAGAUUUAAUUCGACCCCUAUAAAAGCAGCAUCUCACUUUAUUGAUCAUACUUCAAAGCAUAUACUCAAUAGUUAAGGAUCAAUAAUUUCUGUUUGGUUUGGGUCUUUCCACUCGUGACUUUCUAUGAUUUUUUACUCCCCUCCCCCUAUAUCCUGUUCCAUAAGUACACGGGUGCUCUAGAUUUUCCUAUCAAUAGAGGGCGUCCUCGAGUCAUUGCAAAUCCUGGUGUCGUUAAACGGAACUGUUCUUCAGAGGAAAAACUUCAUCUCUAUAAGAAAGGAAGGAGGAGACCUGAACAGUACAUCCGGAGAAUCCAGCAAAGCAUACUACGGCAUGAACGUGCAAGUGGACAGAAUUAAAACACAUGCCAGAAACACUAAUGGAUUCUAAACAAGAUGCAGUUUCAUUUCCUGAGCCUAUACGUGAUGUUUUUAACUGUUCUCCAGUUAAUAUGUCUCCAUUUCCAGAAAUCUAACAGGAGAAUCUCUGACUGCUUAACAGAUCACCUAAGCUUGCGAUUUGUGCAAUCCUUUCUAGAGUAAGGGCUCCCCGGCUGCUCCCCGGCCACUGUGUACCCAAAGCAGCGGCUGAAAUAGCCCGGAGUCCAACAGCUCAGCGUCAAGCAGCUCGUGGCAAACGCAGCCGCCGGUCUUGACUGCCAUCGCCCAAGGGGUUCCUCUGGGCUCUCCCGCGAGCCAACAGCCGACCUCUCUCCAGCCUAGUCUGGGAAACUCCAGCCAACCCAGGAUCCCAUUUUGUAGUCCCGGGCAGACCCGAAACCCCUGAAAGAACUCCACUCCAGAAGACGCCAGAACAAGUUCCCACGAAUUUCAUGGGCGCCCUUCACAUGAAAACCUCAGCUCCCCUAUCCUCAAGGAACGGGGAAGGGCGCCGGGGAGGGACUUCGGUGGCCAGCUGUCCCUGGGUCGUGGGCGCUGUUUGCUCUGCGGAGCGCCAGCCCUGCACACAGCGGGUGCGGGAAGCGUUGAUGGGAGGCUGGAGGGCGGGGUGAGCGUAAACUAGGAUCUAGCCGGUUCCAGGCGUGGAGAAUCAAAUGUGGUCCUAGAUCUGUAAGUUGCGAAAAGGGGCUUUUGGGAGCGUCAGAGCUUUCUCACUCCGGUCCCCCGCCGCCUUGAGGCUGGCAGAUUUAUACCCCACAGGUGGAUGGAGACCUAAACAAAACAGUCCCGGCCGCUGCCUGCCGCUCGCCCCCCACGUCCCCCGGGCCCACCGCAAACUUCAACAAAAUAAACAACUCACCACAGGCAUUCCCUUGUCUGCAGCGCGACGCUUGCCAGCUGGGAAAAUAAGCCGCAAGCCACGCGGCCGAGGC